Molecule: ribosomal RNA, 1191 nt
Filed under: Ochromonas sp. CCMP1393
Lineage: Eukaryota; Chrysophyceae; Chromulinales; Chromulinaceae
Description: partial Bacterial large subunit ribosomal RNA
Rfam family: Bacterial large subunit ribosomal RNA
Source: RNAcentral
UCAGAAGAAAUUCAAUUUGUGAAAAGAAAAAAUUAGUGAAGUAAAACAUUUUAGUAACUAAUAAAAAAAUCAACUGAGAUAUCGUUAGUAGUGGCGAGCGAAUGCGAAAUAGACUAAAUAGAAAUAACUAUAUUAAAAUCCAUAGAAGGUUAAAGUCCUGUAGAUAUAAAAAUUUUUAUUAAAAUUCACAACGGAUUAUGUUAAAUUUGUUGGUAUGUUGAGGAUCUACCCUCAAGUCUAUUAAAUCUUUAAUAACCGAUAGUGAACAAGUACCGUGAGGGAAAGGUGAAAAAGAACUUUUUUAGAGUAAAAAGAAUCUAAAAUUUAAUGCAUACAAUCUGUUGGAGCUUUAUUGUAAAAGUUACAGCGUACCUUUUGCAUAAUGGGCCAGUGAUUUUUUAUUUUUGGCAAGUUUAAUUAUAAUUAGUAGACGCAAAUAACUUGAUGUUUUAAUUAAAGCGAGUUUAAAGUCAUAAAUAAAAGACCCGAAGCUGAGUGAUCUAACCAUGAACAGGUUGAAGAAACUGUGGAAACACAUUUUGGAGGACCGAACCCGUGUCUGUAGAAAAAUACUGGGAUGAUUUGUGGUUGGGAGUGAAAGGCUAAUCAAACUCAGGUAUAGCUGGUUUUCUGCGAAAUAUAUUUUAGUAUAGCCUGCAAAUUUAAUUUAAAAUAGGGUAGAGCACUUUUUGAGUAAGGGGGAUAACUUAUCUUACUGAAUUUUGAAAAACUCCGAAUAUGUUUUAAUUUUUUGUGGAGUCAGACAAUAGGUGCGAAGGUCUAUUGUCAAGAGGGAAACAGCCCAGAUUACGUGAUAAGGUCUUCAAUUAUAAGUUAAGUGAUAAGAAGGUUAAAAAAUUAAGACAAUUAUAAAGUAGGCUUGGAAGCAGCCAUCUUUUUGAGAAAGCGUAACAGCUCAUUAAUCUAGUUUUUUUGCGUCGAAAAUGUAUAGAGACUAAAACUUAUAACCGAAUCAGUAAAAUAUUUGGUAGCAGAACGUUCGGUAUGUUGAUAAAGAUAUUUUGUGAAAAAUAUUCUAGAUAUCCGAAGUGAGUAUACUGGCAUUAGUAGCUAUAAACAGUGUUUAAUCACUGUCGCCGUAAAUCUAAGGUUUUCGAUACAACAUUUGAUGAUAUCGAAAAAAGCUUAUUCGGUCCCUAAGACAAAUUACAAAAGUAUAAGUUGAUGGGA